Molecule: ribosomal RNA, 384 nt
Filed under: uncultured bacterium
Lineage: Bacteria
Description: bacterial SSU rRNA
Rfam family: Bacterial small subunit ribosomal RNA
Source: RNAcentral
GACGAACGUUGGCGGCGUGCUUAAUACAUGCAAGUCAACUGAAGCAGAGGUAGUAAUAUCUCUGUGGAGGUGGCGCACGGGUGAGUAACACGUAGGUAAUCUGCCUUCAGGUCUGACAUAACCCCGAGAAAUCGGGGCUAAUAGCAGAUGAUGCAGCGGCUUGACAUCAAGACAGUUGUUAAAGCUUCGGCGCCUGAAGAUGAGCCUGCGUCUGAUUAGCUAGUUGGCGGAGUAACAGCCCACCAAGGCUACGAUCAGUAGCUGGUCUGAGAGGAUGAUCAGCCACACUGGAACUGAGACACGGUCCAGACUCCUACGGGAGGCAGCAGUAAGGAAUAUUGCUCAAUGGGAGAAAUCCUGAAGCAGCAACGCCGCGUGAGGGAU